Molecule: ribosomal RNA, 467 nt
Filed under: uncultured bacterium
Lineage: Bacteria
Description: partial 16S ribosomal RNA
Rfam family: Bacterial small subunit ribosomal RNA
Source: RNAcentral
ACGAACGCUGGCGGCGUGCUUAACACAUGCAAGUCGAACGGAAAGGACCUGCUUUUGUGGGGUGCUCGAGUGGCGAACGGGGGAGUAACACGUGAGUAACCUGCCCUUGACUUUGGGAUAACUUCAGGAAACUGGGGCUAAUACCGGAUAGGAGCUCCUGCUGCAUGGGGGGGGAUGGAAAGUUUCGGCGGUUGGGGAUGGACUCGCGGCGUAUCAGCUUGGUGGUGGGGUAGUGGCUUACCAAGGCUUGGACGGGUAGCCGGCCUGAGAGGGUGACCGGCCACAUUGGGACUGAGGUACGGCCCAGGCUGCUACGGGAGGCAGCAGUGGGGAAUAUUGCACAAUGGGCGGAAGCCGGAUGCAGCAACGCCGCGUGCGGGAAGACGGCCUUCGGGUUGUAAACCGCUUUCGCCUGUGACGAAGCGUGAGUGACGGUAAUGGGUAAAGAAGCACCGGCUAACUACGUG